RNAcentral lists this long non-coding RNA (863 nucleotides) under Daphnia pulicaria. RNAcentral's name for it is "uncharacterized LOC124315988, transcript variant X1". The record is from RNAcentral. Lineage: Eukaryota; Metazoa; Arthropoda; Branchiopoda; Diplostraca; Daphniidae.
UUCUGUUCUUUCUCUUUCUAAAAAUUGUUACUUGCUAAUAAAAUUUUUUAUAAAUUCGUGAAUAGGCCUACCAAAUAGCAAAAGGUGCACUAUGAUAGAAAAUCAAUUGUUGCUUGAAUCUCUGGACCUGGUUCAACAUACUUUGAACUAGAUGGAGAAAAAGUUUGGGGAUCACACUUGGAACAACAGGGAACAUAAGAUAGACGAUUUCCACUUUCAGCUUUCCAAUUUUGUUGAGCAACAAUACUCUCUUUGCUGCUAGUCAAUCAACUGUGAAUCUGUGAUCAAGUGUUCCACAUUUGACUUCUCAGGAUAUUUCCCAUUGCCUAUGCCCUAUGCUGCCAACUUUGCUGCAAUUCACAAGUGCUAAGCUGUAGUUGUGUCCAGUUUUUUUUAUUUUUGUACAAUAUUGAGCUCAAGUCCUCAUCACAGUCUCUUCAGUUUGUUGUUUGUCACUGCCAACCAACUGCAUCAGUUUCCACAGUGUCUGGUGAAACAUGGAAAACUUUUCGAAUGAACUCCCCACCACUUGGAUAAUGGAACCAAAUGACUGCCUCCUGCUGUAGCAUGUAGUAAAUUGUUAAAGGACGGACGACGGAACGGGGCGAAGAAAGUCAACACUACUUGGUGGCCAAAUGGGAUCUUCUGUGGAAGGUUUACGAGAAGAGUGGGCAGUUUGUCGCUGCCGCCCAAAGCACGGCCAUUAGCUUUCCGUUGAGGAUCGAGUACCUUUCACGAGCCGUUGUCCGGGCUGAAGCUGCCGAGACGAGUUCAUUAGGCAACGCCUUCCUUCCAAGAGCUGUUUCUCUACCAGAUGCAAGAGAAAAUAGACCUUGCAAAUGUUUAGUCUCAAGUCCUGGAAG